GCAUAUCAAUAAGCGGAGGAAAAGAAACUAACAAGGAUUCCCCUAGUAACGGCGAGUGAACCGGGAAAAGCUCAAAUUUGAAAUCUGGCUGUCUUCGAUAGUCCGAGUUGUAAUCUAUAGAAGCGUUUUCCGUGCUGAACUGUGUCUAAGUCCCUUGGAACAGGGUAUCAAAGAGGGUGAUAAUCCCGUACUUGACACAACAAUCAGUGCUCUGUGAUACGUUCUCUACGAGUCGAGUUGUUUGGGAAUGCAGCUCAAAAUGGGUGGUAAAUUCCAUCUAAAGCUAAAUAUUGGCGAGAGACCGAUAGCGAACAAGUACCGUGAGGGAAAGAUGAAAAGCACUUUGGAAAGAGAGUUAAACAGUACGUGAAAUUGUUGAAAGGGAAACGAUUGAAGUCAGUCGUGUUCAUUGGAUUCAGCUAGUUCUUCUAGUCUACUUCCUUUGAACGGGUCAACAUCAGUUUUGUCCGGUGGAUAAAGGAUUUAGGAAUGUAACUCCCUCGGGAGUGUUAUAGCCUAGGUUCACAUACACUGGGUGAGACUGAGGACUGCAGCUCGCCUUUUGGCCGGGGUUCGCCCACGUUCGAGCUUAGGAUGUUGACAUAAUGGCUUUAAACGAC
RNAcentral lists this ribosomal RNA (620 nucleotides) under Apiotrichum domesticum. RNAcentral describes it as "eukaryotic LSU rRNA". It matches the Rfam family "Eukaryotic large subunit ribosomal RNA", at positions 38 to 648 of the family's 3401-position model. Lineage: Eukaryota; Fungi; Basidiomycota; Tremellomycetes; Trichosporonales; Trichosporonaceae. The record is from RNAcentral.